This 68-nucleotide transfer RNA is filed under the name Balaena mysticetus (bowhead whale). RNAcentral's name for it is "transfer RNA-Pro". It matches the Rfam family "tRNA". From Rfam's summary of the family: Transfer RNA (tRNA) molecules are approximately 80 nucleotides in length. Their secondary structure includes four short double-helical elements and three loops (D, anti-codon, and T loops). The record is from RNAcentral. Lineage: Eukaryota; Metazoa; Chordata; Mammalia; Artiodactyla; Balaenidae.
CAGGGAAUAGUUUAAUGUAGAAUUUCAGCUUUGGGUGCUGAUGGUGGAGUGUAGUGCUUCUUCCUUGA